RNAcentral lists this long non-coding RNA (2568 nucleotides) under Setaria italica (foxtail millet). Its description in RNAcentral is "long non-coding RNA (SITA_LNC005108)". Lineage: Eukaryota; Viridiplantae; Streptophyta; Magnoliopsida; Poales; Poaceae. The record is from RNAcentral.
UAUAGAUCAUCGAGCAACAAAAAAAAGGAAAAUAACCAUGUUUUUCCCAAAAAAAAACUGGACAAGCUAUUAGUCCUUUUCUGUUUGUCACGCUGUCUGUUUGAACCUGACGUAAAACGAGAGCGAGAGAAUGAAGAAAAACUUGUAUUCAUUCAAUCAGAGGUAUACAAUAUAUACAGAGAGAAUGGGCGGCAGGAACGGGCGUGCGACAUCGGUGAUGUCAGUUCCUGGAACCGUUAGAUGGAUGAGAUCACCGUUUUUAAUCUCAUUAUUUUGUAACACUCCCCCUUGAUUGAAUCCCGCUUUUGAUUGUUCCAGAUAUCCUGUGUUGGAAGUAUCUUCGGCCUCACCAUGGUGGGACCAAAUUAUGUAAUCAUACAUAAAACCUCACUUCAUCAAAUGUCUCUUAAUGAGGUCCAUGUUCCCCCGUACUAUGUUGUUGCUACAGUCAAAGCAUGGACAACAAAUUCACUUUGUCAUGUUACUGCGAGCGUGCUUCUCCACAAUAUUAAUAAUAUUUGAUGCUUCCUAUAUGAAAGUAUAUGAAUGUUUCUGCAUGAAAUACAUCCAUCCCUGUCAUCUUUAACUACCUACCUAUGUCAAUAAUUCUAUACUAUAUUAAACCAAACUCAAUUAAUCGCUAAUUUAAUUUAGUAAGCAAACAAUUUACUAUGAAAAUAAUAAAAAUAGGAAAAAACAAUUUCAAAAAUCUAUUAAGAUGAAAAACAGUCUUGUGAUAAUUAUAAGAGUAAGUUGCACCCACCAUACAAUAACUUGUCAUGUGAGUGCAAAUUGGUGCAAUAACUUGUAAAAUGCUACAUUUGCUACAAUAACUUGACAAGUGGGUGCAGGUUGGUCCAACUCAAUUUAGUGCAAUAACUUGACAAAUUGGUGCACCUACAAUCCAAACGUUACAACAACAAUGUAUUAAGCAAAGUAGAUGUAUUAAGCAAAUUUUCUUCCAGUCAAUAAUUCUUUUUUGACCGAAGUCAGUAGGGGAAACCCCAACCUAUUUUUUAUAAUUCUUUUUUAUUUCAGACAUGUUUAAUUCGCUCCCACAGGGAUUCAAACCUAAACCUGCUGGAUGCUACUCAGGUGCUCUAACCACUAGGCUAGCGGCACUUUUUAGCUCCAAUCAAUAAUUCUUAAUUUUUGUUAAUAAAAAUUCUUGAUCGUGAUCAGGCUCAUUGCUUCAAGACUAUUUAUUUGUUCAUUAGUUAAAUUGGAUAAUAUUUCAGAAUUAGGCCAUUGUCAUUAUCGAAAGACACGUCCAUAUGGGAGACCCUAGGAUCUUAGGUUUUUUUUUCUAUGCUUCUGCUCAUAUAUUCAAUAACUGUAUACAAGCAUGUUUGUCUCUAUUCUUUUACCUCAUUUUUCCUUUCUAAACAAGUACAUGAGGCUUUAAAAAUAUUUAUGCCAACUCGUAAAAAGUAUUGUUAGUAUAUGCAUUAAUAUAACAUAUUGGUUUUUUGUGUAGCUGAACAAUGGAUAUAAUUAAACAUAUAAAAAUAAUGAGGGUAAACUUAUCAAUAUCUAAUAUGAAAUUAAAUAUUCUUAAUCAAAAUUAAAUCAUAGUAUAAAAAUAAUUAAUCUGAAGACAUCUAACAUUAAUUUCAUAAACACUGAAGGUUCUAAUUUUGGUUGUGAUGUAAAUAUCAAUAGCAAAAUAAUGCUAAAUAAUUUAUUCCGACGUAAAUAUACCCUAACCUAGCAUUAGCAAAUAUGUCGCACAUUAUAAGAUUUGGACUAUGGAUGAACUAAUUUGUUAAGUUAUUGCACUAAAUCGAGCAUUUUACAGCUUGUGGGACCAAUCUGCACCCACCUAUCAAGUUAUACUAGAUUGAGCAUUUUACAAGUUUUUGGACCAAUCUGCACUCACCUAUCAAGUUAUUGUACUAGAUUGAGCAUUUUACAAGUUGUUAGACCAUCUGCACCCAUCUAACAAGUUGUUGUACGGUGGAUUUAAUUUACUCUAAUUAUAAUAUGAUAAUGGAACUUAUUCGAAAAAUGAUCAAGCUCGUACUUGCUGUCUCUCCUCUCCUCUCCUAUCUCUUUCUAGAUGAAGAUCUAGAUCUAGAUGAAUAUAUAGGGCUCCUAAUGCUAGCAGAACAUGUUAAAGCUCCUUGCUAAUGGUACAAUCAUAUGAACCUACACACUCAAGUAAGAUUUGGUAGAAAUUCAAGCUCAAUUGUAUCUAUGAACGGGGAAGAACACCGUGGCAACCCCUUCUUGCAAGAAAACCCUAAGCAAGCUAGAAAUGAUGGCUAAAACUUGGAAAAGAAGCAUGGAAUGGCAUAAACUCACCUUGUAGAGUCACCUCCUCCACAGAAUUCAUGAAUAAAACCUUCCCUUGUGUAUUUGAUGUUUCUGAAGCUUUUCGCUCCUCUCGGUCAAGCUCCAAAUUGGAAGGCUUCUUGGGGAAGAAGUUGUUCGCGGGGUAAUCUGGGCAGCAUCGUGCUGAUAGGUGUCCUAAACACCCGCCAGCACAAAUGCUACCUAUUUAUGCUGACGGAUGUUGACGUGCCAGCUCCUGGCUCUUUUGUGCUAGUGGGUGGCAAUCUUACCCAC